GAUGAACGCUGGCGGCGUGCCUAAUACAUGCAAGUCGAGCGAACAGACGAGGAGCUUGCUCCUCUGACGUUAGCGGCGGACGGGUGAGUAACACGUGGAUAACCUACCUAUAAGACUGGGAUAACUUCGGGAAACCGGAGCUAAUACCGGAUAAUAUAUUGAACCGCAUGGUUCAAUAGUGAAAGACGGUUUUGCUGUCACUUAUAGAUGGAUCCGCGCCGCAUUAGCUAGUUGGUAAGGUAACGGCCUAUCAAGGCAACGAUGCGUAGCCGACCUGAGAGGGUGAUCGGCCACACUGGAGCUGGGACGCGGUCCUGACUCCUACGGGAGGCAGCAGUAGGGAAUCUUCCGCAGUGGGCGGAAGCCUGACGCAGCAACGCCGCGUGAGUGAUGAAAGUCUUCGGAUCGUAAAACUCUGUUAUUAGGGAAGAACAAAUGUGUAAGUAGCUAUGCACGUCUUGACGGUACCUAGUCAGAAAGCCACGGCUAACUACGUG
This 497-nucleotide ribosomal RNA is filed under the name uncultured bacterium. RNAcentral describes it as "partial 16S ribosomal RNA". It matches the Rfam family "Bacterial small subunit ribosomal RNA", at positions 28 to 507 of the family's 1533-position model. The record is from RNAcentral.